AUGAGCCGCCUCGUUUCCCGGCGGCACCUCGCCGCCGCCGCGGCCCUCCGACGAUCCCCCGCCGCGUUCGCUUCCAGGUGGCUGCACACGCCGGCAUUUGCGACGGUGUCCCCCGAGGAGAUCUCUGGUUCAAGCCCGGCGGAAGUGCAGAAUUUUGUGCAGGGAAAAUGGAUAAAGUCUGCUAACUGGAAUUGGAUAGUUGAUCCUUUAAAUGGCGAAAAAUUUAUCAAAGUUGCUGAGGUUCAGGGAUCUGAAAUAAAGCCAUUUGUGGAGAGUUUAUCUAAAUGCCCAAAGCAUGGACUUCACAACCCACUUAGAGCUCCAGAGAGGUAUCUCAUGUAUGGAGAUAUAUCUACAAAAGCUGCACACAUGCUUGGUCAACCUGAGGUCUUAGAUUUCUUUGCUAAGCUUGUUCAAAGGGUUUCUCCGAAGAGCUAUCAACAAGCACUUUUGGAAGUUCAAGUUUCUCAAAAGUUCUUGGAGAACUUCUGUGGAGAUCAGGUGCGCUUUCUGGCUCGGUCAUUUGCUGUACCUGGAAAUCAUGUUGGACAAAUGAGUAAUGGCUAUCGUUGGCCAUUUGGCCCAGUUGCAAUAAUCACACCGUUCAAUUUCCCAUUGGAGAUUCCCUUGCUGCAACUGAUGGGUGCACUUUAUAUGGGAAAUAAACCAGUCCUCAAAGUUGACAGCAAAGUUAGCAUUGUGAUGGAACAAAUGAUCAGGUUGCUUCACGAGUGUGGGUUACCUGCAGAGGACGUGGACUUCAUAAAUUCUGAUGGUAUCACAAUGAACAAGCUGCUGUUGGAGGCAAAUCCAAAAAUGACCCUCUUUACUGGGAGCUCACGUGUGGCAGAGAAAUUGGCUGCUGAUUUGCAAGGCCGAAUCAAGUUAGAAGAUGCUGGUUUUGAUUGGAAAAUUCUUGGUCCAGAUGUUCAAGAGGUUGAUUAUAUUUCAUGGGUUUGCGACCAGGAUGCUUACGCUUGCAGCGGUCAGAAGUGCUCUGCUCAGUCUAUGCUAUUCAUGCACAAGAACUGGUCAUCUAGUGGGCUACUUGAGAAAAUGAAGAAACUUUCUGAAAGAAGGAAGCUUGAAGAUUUGACGAUUGGCCCAGUCCUUACUGUUACAACAGCAACCAUGAUAGAGCACAUGAACAACCUUCUCAAAAUACCAGGAUCAAAGGUUCUGUUUGGUGGUGAACCUUUGGAGAAUCACUCCAUCCCAGAAAUAUAUGGUGCUUUCAAACCGACUGCUGUAUUUGUCCCACUAGUGGAGAUACUUAAAAAUGGUAACUUCGAGCUUGUGACAAAGGAGAUAUUUGGUCCUUUCCAGGUGGUUACAGAAUACUCUGAGGAACAGCUUGAUUUGGUAUUAGAAGCCUGCGAAAGGAUGAAUGCGCAUCUGACAGCUGCAGUAGUUUCAAACGACAAAUUGUUCCUGCAGGAAGUACUCGGGAGAUCGGUUAACGGGACAACAUAUGCUGGAAUUCGAGCAAGGACCACCGGCGCCCCGCAGAACCACUGGUUUGGUCCUGCGGGUGACCCGAGAGGCGCGGGGAUCGGCACUCCAGAAGCCAUCAAACUCGUCUGGUCUUGCCACAGGGAGAUCAUAUACGACAUUGGUCCCCUGCCUAAGAAGUGGGCACUUCCUGCGGCUACAUGA
Molecule: ribosomal RNA, 1656 nt
Filed under: Triticum aestivum (bread wheat)
Lineage: Eukaryota; Viridiplantae; Streptophyta; Magnoliopsida; Poales; Poaceae
Description: partial small subunit ribosomal RNA
Source: RNAcentral